CGUUUAUAACCGCAGCUUCUCGUCGUCUCAGAGCCCCGCCCUCUAUCUCACUGUCGGAGACUUGGUGACAAAUCUGAUCAUCAGGGUGGUGCUGGUCCUCUUCCUCCUGAUCACAGGGACCAUUUCCCUCUUCUUCUACUGUCGGGCCAGUAGGGGGCGCUGCAGACUGAAGGCACGCAACACAGGAUGAGAUACACGUCCACGACCAGGUCUACGAUCAUGUCCACAUCUACGUCCACGUCCACAUCCAUGUCCAUCCUGCAGAAUAGUUGUGUGUUGUUUGUGUUGCAGAAUAGUUGUGUGUGUGUAGUUUGUGUCCCAGUCCCAGUUCUGGUCCUGGAGUCCUGGUCUGGUCUGAAUGUUCAGUGUGUUUGUGUUUCAUUGGUUCCUGGUUCUUCUUGGACUUGGACCCAGACCUGUUCAGUCCUGACUCAAAGGACAGCAGAGGAGCUGUUCAGCUCUUUGGUUCCAGCUCACACAUGAACUCUGCUCUGAAAGCAGAUGCAAACAUUUACAUUUACAUUUACGCAUUUGGCAGAUGCUGUUUUCCAAAGCGACUUACAGGGGAAAACUAAAAUAAAAG
Molecule: long non-coding RNA, 583 nt
Organism: Sphaeramia orbicularis (orbiculate cardinalfish)
Lineage: Eukaryota; Metazoa; Chordata; Actinopteri; Kurtiformes; Apogonidae
Exons: 3
Source: RefSeq, a predicted model, not a curated record